This 69-nucleotide transfer RNA is filed under the name Diplorchis hangzhouensis. RNAcentral describes it as "tRNA-Asp". The record is from RNAcentral. Lineage: Eukaryota; Metazoa; Platyhelminthes; Monogenea; Polystomatidea; Polystomatidae.
AUAUAUCUAGUUUAUUUUGAAUGUAAAUUUGUCAAAUUUAUGGGGUCUGUUAUGUUGAGACGGUAUAUG